CCUACGGGAGGCAGCAGUGGGGAAUCUUGCACAAUGGGCGAAAGCCUGAUGGAGCAACGCCGCGUGAGGGAUGAAGGCCUUCGGGUUGUAAACCUCUUUUAUUAGAGAAGAAGCGAAAGUGAAGGUACUGGUCGAAGAGUGACCGGCUCUUUACAUACCGGAACCGGUGAUUAUAUGUCAGUGCCCGCGGCCAUACGUAUGUUUGUGGAUCCGCUC
This 216-nucleotide ribosomal RNA is filed under the name uncultured bacterium. RNAcentral's name for it is "partial 16S ribosomal RNA". It matches the Rfam family "Bacterial small subunit ribosomal RNA", at positions 338 to 538 of the family's 1533-position model. The record is from RNAcentral.